This 165-nucleotide ribosomal RNA is filed under the name uncultured bacterium. RNAcentral describes it as "partial 16S rRNA". It matches the Rfam family "Bacterial small subunit ribosomal RNA", at positions 355 to 511 of the family's 1533-position model. The record is from RNAcentral.
UAGGGAAGUCUUUCCACAAUGGACGCAAGUCUGAUGGAGCAACGCCGCGUGAGUGAGAAGGGUUUCGGCUCGUAAAGCUCUGUUGUUAAAGAAGAACGUGGGUAAGAGUAACUGUUUACCCAGUGACGGUAUUUAACCAGAAAGCCACGGCUAACUACGUGCCAG